AGAGUUUGAUUCUGGCUCAGGAUGAACGCUGGCGGCAUGCCUAAUACAUGCAAGUCGAACGAAGUGAGGAUAGCUUGCUAUUGGAACUUAGUGGCGAACGGGUGAGUAACACGUAGAUAACCUGCCUGUAUGACCGGGAUAACAGUUGGAAACGACUGCUAAUACCGGAUAGGCAGAGAGGAGGCAUCUCUUCUCCGUUAAAGUUGGGACACAACGCAAACAGAUGGAUCUGCGGUGCAUUAGCUAGUUGGUGAGGUAACGGCCCACCAAGGCGAUGAUGCAUAGCCGGCCUGAGAGGGCGAACGGCCACAUUGGGACUGAGACACGGCCCAAACUCCUACGGGAGGCAGCAGUAGGGAAUUUUCGGCAAUGGGGGAAACCCUGACCGAGCAAUGCCGCGUGAGUGAAGACGGCCUUCGGGUUGUAAAGCUCUGUUGUAAGGGAAGAACGGCAUAGAGAGGGAAUGCUCUAUGAGUGACGGUACCUUACCAGAAAGCCACGGCUAACUACAUGCCAGCAGCCGCGGUAAUACGUAGGUGGCAAGCGUUAUCCGGAAUUAUUGGGCGUAAAGGGUGCGUAGGCGGCGAGAUAAGUCUGAGGUAAAAGCCCGUGGCUCAACCACGGUAAGCCUUGGAAACUGUCUGGCUGGAGUGCAGGAGAGGACAAUGGAAUUCCAUGUGUAGCGGUAAAAUGCGUAGAUAUAUGGAGGAACACCAGUGGCGAAGGCGGUUGUCUGGCCUGUAACUGACGCUGAAGCACGAAAGCGUGGGGAGCAAAUAGGAUUAGAUACCCUAGUAGUCCACGCCGU
Molecule: ribosomal RNA, 808 nt
Filed under: uncultured bacterium
Lineage: Bacteria
Description: bacterial SSU rRNA
Rfam family: Bacterial small subunit ribosomal RNA
Source: RNAcentral